AAAUUGAAGAGUUUGAUCAUGGCUCAGAUUGAACGCUGGCGGCAGGCCUAACACAUGCAAGUCGAGCGGAA
RNAcentral lists this ribosomal RNA (71 nucleotides) under Vibrio alginolyticus. Its description in RNAcentral is "partial 16S ribosomal RNA". It matches the Rfam family "Bacterial small subunit ribosomal RNA", at positions 1 to 71 of the family's 1533-position model. Lineage: Bacteria; Pseudomonadati; Pseudomonadota; Gammaproteobacteria; Vibrionales; Vibrionaceae. RNAcentral also lists the same sequence under 4 other names. The record is from RNAcentral.